This 76-nucleotide transfer RNA is filed under the name Aeromonas caviae. RNAcentral's name for it is "tRNA-Ala". It matches the Rfam family "tRNA". Rfam says of the family: Transfer RNA (tRNA) molecules are approximately 80 nucleotides in length. Their secondary structure includes four short double-helical elements and three loops (D, anti-codon, and T loops). Lineage: Bacteria; Pseudomonadati; Pseudomonadota; Gammaproteobacteria; Aeromonadales; Aeromonadaceae. RNAcentral also lists the same sequence under 1 other name. The record is from RNAcentral.
GGGGUUAUAGCUCAGCUGGGAGAGCGCUUGCAUGGCAUGCAAGAGGUCCGCGGUUCGAUCCCGCAUAGCUCCACCA